RNAcentral lists this non-coding RNA (26 nucleotides) under Drosophila melanogaster (fruit fly). Lineage: Eukaryota; Metazoa; Arthropoda; Insecta; Diptera; Drosophilidae. The record is from RNAcentral.
CAUUUCCUUUUAUUCCUGAAUGGCCA